RNAcentral lists this long non-coding RNA (466 nucleotides) under Nicotiana benthamiana. RNAcentral describes it as "long non-coding RNA (NBEN_LNC020982)". The record is from RNAcentral. Lineage: Eukaryota; Viridiplantae; Streptophyta; Magnoliopsida; Solanales; Solanaceae.
CCGGUUCAUAACAAAAAUAGACCGGCUCGGGGAAGUACUCUCACGGUCCAGAGAGAACCGUAUAGAUGAAGCAGAAGACGACGACGUCCUAGAGGUCGACGAAUAAAAUCUUCCGGCAGGUGAAAGUGAACUUAGCACUGGUCCAGUCGAUCUUCGAGCAGAAACCGCCAUUUUUUUCUGCUUUAACAGUUAUAAGAGGGAGGAAUCUAGAGAGGAGUGUCUUUAUGACGUCCUAAAGGUCGACGAAUAAAAUAUUCCGGCAGGUGAAAGUGAACGUAGCACUGGUCCAAUCGAUCUCCGAGAAGAAACCACCAUUUUUUUUUAUGCUUUUACAGUUAUAAGAGGGAGGAAUCUAUAGAGGAUUGUCUUUAAGCCGUGUUUGGCUGUUUGAUUUGGCAAACCGUAGUUUCACUUGAGCACGAGACUCUAAUCAAUUGAGUAGAAGCUUUUGGAUUGAGAAUAAUGA